RNAcentral lists this ribosomal RNA (1536 nucleotides) under Pasteurella multocida subsp. septica. RNAcentral's name for it is "bacterial SSU rRNA". It matches the Rfam family "Bacterial small subunit ribosomal RNA". The record is from RNAcentral. Lineage: Bacteria; Pseudomonadati; Pseudomonadota; Gammaproteobacteria; Pasteurellales; Pasteurellaceae.
UUGAAUUGAAGAGUUUGAUCAUGGCUCAGAUUGAACGCUGGCGGCAGGCUUAACACAUGCAAGUCGAACGGUAGCAGGAAGAAAGCUUGCUUCUUUGCUGACGAGUGGCGGACGGGUGAGUAAUGCUUGGGAAUCUGGCUUAUGGAGGGGGAUAACUGUGGGAAACUGCAGCUAAUACCGCGUAUUCUCUGAGGAGGAAAGGGUGGGACCUUAGGGCCACCUGCCAUAAGAUGAGCCCAAGUGGGAUUAGGUAGUUGUGGGGUAAAGGCCUACCAAGCCUGCGAUCUCUAGCUGGUCUGAGAGGAGACCAGCCACACUGGAACUGAGACACGGUCCAGACUCCUACGGGAGGCAGCAGUGGGAUAUUGCGCAAUGGGGGGAACCCUGAGCAGCCAUGCCGCGUGAAUGAAGAAGGCCUUCGGGUUGUAAAAGUCUUUCGGUAAUGAGGAAGGGAUGUUGUUAAAUAGAUAGCAUCAUUGACGUUAAUUACAGAAGAAGCACCGGCUAACUCCGUGCCAGCAGCCGCGUAAUACGGAGGGUGCGAGCGUUAAUCGGAAUAACUGGGCGUAAAGGGCACGCAGGCGGACUUUUAAGUGAGAUGUGAAAUCCCCGAGCUUAACUUGGGAACUGCAUUCAGACUGGGAGUCUAGAGUACUUUAGGGAGGGGUAGAAUUCCACGUGUAGCGGUGAAAUGCGUAGAGAUUGGAGGAAUACCGAAGGCGAGGCAGCCCCUUGGGAAUGUACUGACGCUCAUGUGCGAAAGCGUGGGGAGCAAACAGGAUUAGAUACCCUGGUAGUCCACGCUGUAAACGCUGUCGAUUUGGGGAUUGGGCUAUAUGCUUGGUGCCCGAAGCUAACGUGAUAAUCGACCGCCUGGGGAGUACGGCCGCAAGGUUAAACUCAAAUGAAUUGACGGGGGCCCGCACAAGCGGUGGAGCAUGUGGUUUAAUUCGAUGCAACGCGAAGAACCUUACCUACUCUUGACAUCCUAAGAAGAGCUCAGAGAUGAGCUUGUGCCUUCGGGAACUUAGAGACAGGUGCUGCAUGGCUGUCGUCAGCUCGUGUUGUGAAAUGUUGGGUUAAGUCCCGCAACGAGCGCAACCCUUAUCCUUUGUUGCCAGCGAUUCGGUCGGGAACUCAAAGGAGACUGCCAGUGACAAACUGGAGGAAGGUGGGAUGACGUCAAGUCAUCAUGGCCCUUACGAGUAGGGCUACACACGUGCUACAAUGGUGCAUACAGAGGGCAGCGAGAGUGCGAGCUUGAGCGAAUCUCAGAAAGUGCAUCUAAGUCCGGAUUGGAGUCUGCAACUCGACUCCAUGAAGUCGGAAUCGCUAGUAAUCGCAAAUCAGAAUGUUGCGGUGAAUACGUUCCCGGGCCUUGUACACACCGCCCGUCACACCAUGGGAGUGGGUUGUACCAGAAGUAGAUAGCUUACCUUCGGGAGGGCGUUUACCACGGUAUGAUUCAUGACUGGGGUGAAGUCGUAACAAGGUAACCGUAGGGGAACCUGCGGUUGGAUCACCUCCUUACCUAAA